GUGGGGUUGUGGCUCAGUGGUAGAGUACUCUCCUAGCACAGGCAAGGCCCUGGGUUUGUUCCCCAGCACCACA
RNAcentral lists this transfer RNA (73 nucleotides) under Marmota monax (woodchuck). Its description in RNAcentral is "tRNA.Ala". Lineage: Eukaryota; Metazoa; Chordata; Mammalia; Rodentia; Sciuridae. The record is from RNAcentral.